CCUACGGGAGGCAGCAGUGAGGAAUCUUCCACAAUGGACGCAAGUCUGAUGGAGCAAUACCGCGUGCAGGAAGACGCUUUUCGGAGUGUAAACUGCUUUUGUCGUCGAAGAUUAUGACUGUAGACGAAGAAUAAGGACCGGCUAACUACGUGCCAGCAGCCGCGGUAAUACGUAGGGUCCAAGCGUUAUCCGGAAUUACUGGGCGUAAAGCGUACGCAGAUGGCGUAAUAGGUGAGUUGUGAAAUCUUGUGGCUCAACCAUAUAGACUAUGACUCAAACCAUUACACUAGAGGUUGGUAGAGGCAAGCGGAAUUCCCGGUGUAGCAGUGACAUGCGUAGAUAUCGGGAGGAACACCAAUGGCGAAGGCAGCUUGCUGGGCCACACCUGACGUUAAGGUACGAAAGCGUGGGGAGCGAACGGGAUUAGAUACCCCGGGUAGUCCGACGACCGUAACGAUAGAGUACUAGUAGGUAGUAGGUAGAGUACGUACCGUCCUCGUGUCGUACGAACGACGUAACGACGAGUAAGUAAUACCGCCGUCGGGAGGUACGGAACGACGAACGUUAAACGUUAACGUAAAGGUAAAGUUAGUUACGGACGUGUUAGAGUAGCCGACGGACGACGACGAGGGAGGAGG
Molecule: ribosomal RNA, 638 nt
Filed under: uncultured bacterium
Lineage: Bacteria
Description: bacterial SSU rRNA
Rfam family: Bacterial small subunit ribosomal RNA (bases 1-522)
Source: RNAcentral